Long non-coding RNA from Panicum hallii, 653 nucleotides. RefSeq lists it as uncharacterized. Lineage: Eukaryota; Viridiplantae; Streptophyta; Magnoliopsida; Poales; Poaceae. The transcript is spliced from 2 exons. The record is from RefSeq and is a predicted model, not a curated record.
CUCAUCCUCCGCUUCCUCUCUGCUUUUUUCCCCACGUGAGGACCGCCCACCGACGGCGCAGCCAGAUCCUCCGCCCUAGCUACACGCGAAGACCAUGAGCCAUCCCAGAGGCGGCUCGUGGAGUUCAGGACUUCUCCCCAGCGAUGGAAGGCAGAGGUGACGAGCUUAUCCGGCGGUGCGCAGAUCCCGAGAUCCUGGUGACUCGUGAAACAGUGGAGAUGCCUCGGCGGCAGCCCAUCAAGGCGAGGAGCCACUGUGACAUCAGCGUGUGGAGGAAAGACGAAUCAUCUGAUACAGCCAUGGAAGGGAAAUUCUCGCCGAUACCUCAGCUGCUCGGGCGGCAGGCCUGAUGGGCGGCGCCUAAGCACCAACCACAGAUAUCGUCCUGUAUCCACCUAUUUCCUCUCCCCAGGUACUUGGUCGCUGUAAAUGUUGUAGAACACCGAUCAGUCGUCGAUGUUGCACGAAACAUCCAUCUAUGUUGCGGCGGGUUUUCUGCGUGUGCUUGGAGAGCACUUUGUCUUUGAAUGUUGUACGCAACAUGCAACUUAUGUUCCGACGGGAAUUUUGCUAGUCUUCAACCGUCCAAGGCUGUUGGACCUCCGGGCGCUAGCAGCUCCGAAUAUUAUAUCACUGUCCUUUUCCACCCUGCA